UGGUAUGACGGUUUAACAAAAAUUUUGUUUAUAAAGAUAAAAUAAAAUUUUAAAUAGUGGUUAAAAUUCUACUGUAUUUUUGAGGGACGAUAAGACCCUAAAAGCUUUAUUUAUUCUUAUUUACUAUUAUUUAAUUUUAUAUAAGCUAGUAAGAUUAAUGUUUAGCUGGGGUAGCUAGAGUUUAUAAAUAACUUUUUAAAAAACAACUGGUUAAUGAUCCUUUAUAUAUGGAUAUAAUGUAAAAGUUACUUUAGGGGUAACAGGGUGAUAAUUUUAGAUAGGUCUUAUUGAUGGAAAUUGUUUGCUACCUCGAUGUUGAAUUAGAAUUUUUUUACUUUGCAGUAGUAGUAUUAAAUAGUUUGUUCAACUAUUAAUUUUUUACAUGAUUU
RNAcentral lists this ribosomal RNA (389 nucleotides) under Leptophoxus sp. BOLD:ADF7720. RNAcentral describes it as "partial 16S ribosomal RNA". Lineage: Eukaryota; Metazoa; Arthropoda; Malacostraca; Amphipoda; Phoxocephalidae. The record is from RNAcentral.